UAGGGAAUCUUCCACAAUGGACGAAAGUCUGAUGGAGCAAUGCCGCGUGAGUGAAGAAGGGUUUCGGCUCGUAAAACUCUGUUGUUAGAGAAGAACAUAUCUGAGAGUAACUGUUCAGGUAUUGACGGUAUUUAACCAGAAAGCCACGGCUAACUACGUG
RNAcentral lists this ribosomal RNA (160 nucleotides) under uncultured Lactobacillus sp. RNAcentral's name for it is "partial 16S ribosomal RNA". It matches the Rfam family "Bacterial small subunit ribosomal RNA", at positions 355 to 507 of the family's 1533-position model. Lineage: Bacteria; Bacillati; Bacillota; Bacilli; Lactobacillales; Lactobacillaceae. The record is from RNAcentral.